GGGGAAUAUUGGACAAUGGGGGGAACCCUGAUCCAGCAAUGCCGCGUGUGUGAAGAAGGCCUGAGGGUUGUAAAGCACUUUCAGUGGGGAGGAGGAUUGAUUGGUUAAGAGCUGAUUGAUUGGACGUUACCCACAGAAGAAGCACCGGCUAACUCCGUGCCAGCAGCCGCGGUAAUACGGAGGGUGCGAGCGUUAAUCGGAAUUACUGGGCGUAAAGGGUGCGUAGGUGGUUGUAUAAGUUAGCUGUGAAAUCCCUGGGCUCAACCUGGGCAGGUCAGCUAAGACUGUAUGACUCGAGUAUAGGAGAGGGUAGUGGAAUUUCCGGUGUAGCGGUGAAAUGCGUAGAGAUCGGAAGGAACACCAGUGGCGAAGGCGGCUACCUGGCCUAAUACUGACACUGAGGCACGAAAGCGUGGGGAGCAAAC
Molecule: ribosomal RNA, 425 nt
Filed under: uncultured bacterium
Lineage: Bacteria
Description: bacterial SSU rRNA
Rfam family: Bacterial small subunit ribosomal RNA
Source: RNAcentral